UUGUGCGUCUAGUGUCAGGACAGCCCGCGCUUUUGGCUUCAAGUUCCUGGGUUUCUGCAAUCGCUUUUUGCAAACCAGACAACUUUCCCUGCUCGCGACAGCAGCCGCAAGUAUGUGGGCUGCCCAGGCUCUCGACCAGGGUCGCGGGCAGCGCUCCGAGAUAGGAAGGAUUGGAUUGGGAAAGCGACUAAGGUAUCGUGAGAGCGAAGAGCACAGAUGGUGGGGAUGAACCGUCAAUCGGUUCAGCAUUCCAGAGACUGAAGUCAAAUCUUUCCUCCACCUUACCACUCACACAUAACUGACACCCGGUGGACUAAAAGGCUAAUGAACAAGCCUGGGGGCCUUCAAACUGAGAAGACGGUUCUAUGAAGGCCAGAAUCUGGUGAAAGUUAUGCAUGUUACCCAGCUGCCGACCCCUGUCCUGGCAAGUACGGCUUCUUGCCCUGGGAACCUUCGUUGAUUUGAGGUGGUGGAAGCUACGGUAAAGAAUAAAAUCAAUGUCCACAGCACAUCUGGCCUGGUUGACACUAUGCAUCAUCAGCUCAGACAUGGAGAUGCAGGUUUUGUUAUUGAAGAAUCAAGAAUAGGAAGAAAUGUGUCUCUACCAACUACUUAAGAAGUGGGAUUAAACCCAAGGUCUUCUGUAAAGUUACCAUGCACUGUGACACUGAGCUACAAUCUGGUCUCUGACUCUAUUUCCAAAUAAAGAACCACCACACAGUUCCUGUUUCCUCUUUGGAUUGGAUAUGCACAUGAAGCAGAAUCAGCCAGAUGGGGGUAAAACUGCACUUUCUACUGCCCAGCUAAGAGGCCACAUGGGGCCCUUCCUCCAGAAGACAGCCUAAGGCCAAGGCUGUCCCUCUGGAACCAGAAGAAGGGUUAGCCUUACCCAGCCCUGUGUUCUCAAGUUUCUUUCCUGCAGCUCUCAGUUCUAAGUACAUGGGUCAUCUGCUAGUGUUGGCCACACUUUUUCCCUUCUGGAGUCUGGCUUUGAAGUCAGCAGAAUCCAGGGCUGGAAGCUACAGGGUGGAGGUCACAGACCGCAGGAAGGGAGCCUGGUGCUUGUCGCGCUUCUCAGCAGCAGUGCUUCCAGGAGGUUUUUCCUGAACCUUCAAAGCCUGAAGUUAGAUGCACCUGUUCUCCUUCUGCCUGGCAGUAGCAAGUGCCCAAGGCCAGGAAGUAGGUGGGGGUGUCACUGGUAACUCUAGGCCUCCAGAGCUCACUGGGUAAUGUCCAGGGGUGUGUUCAUCUGUCAUUCCUUUGCCUUUGCUUCCCUGGCUCCCAUUCCACCUUAUAAAAGAGAGGCAGAGAAUUCCAACACACUUGGGUAUUAAAGAGCAAAGUCACAACAAUUUAAA
Long non-coding RNA from Mesocricetus auratus (golden hamster), 1358 nucleotides. RefSeq lists it as uncharacterized. The transcript has 2 exons. NCBI's taxonomy places the organism in Eukaryota, Metazoa, Chordata, Mammalia, Rodentia, Cricetidae. The record is from RefSeq and is a predicted model, not a curated record.